This 76-nucleotide transfer RNA is filed under the name Idiomarina loihiensis. Its description in RNAcentral is "tRNA-His". It matches the Rfam family "tRNA". Rfam says of the family: Transfer RNA (tRNA) molecules are approximately 80 nucleotides in length. Their secondary structure includes four short double-helical elements and three loops (D, anti-codon, and T loops). Lineage: Bacteria; Pseudomonadati; Pseudomonadota; Gammaproteobacteria; Alteromonadales; Idiomarinaceae. The record is from RNAcentral. RNAcentral also lists the same sequence under 10 other names.
GUGGCUGUAGCUCAGUCGGUAGAGCCCCGGAUUGUGAUUCCGGUUGUCGUGGGUUCAAGUCCCAUCAGCCACCCCA